Molecule: non-coding RNA, 390 nt
Organism: Bacillus sp. TS-2
Lineage: Bacteria; Bacillati; Bacillota; Bacilli; Caryophanales; Bacillaceae
Source: Rfam
GUAUUUAGGUAAUCGCUGCACAUUUGUGUAGAGGAAAGUCCAUGCUCGCACAGACUGCGAUGUCUGUAGUGUUCGUGCCUAGCGAAGUCAUAAGCUAGGGUAGCUUGGGUUCAUAGCCUGUGCUAACGGCAAGAUAAGCACCUAAGUCAUCCGAUAGGGUGUGAAGUCUUUGAAAGUGCCACAGUGACGUAGUCUGAUUGGAAACAAUUAGAGUGGAACGCGGUAAACCCCUCGAGCGAGAAACCCAAAACAUGGUAGGGGCAUCUUCUCUUUCGGAAAUGAACGAAUCAGAAGAACAAGAAUUGACUCUCUUGUAGAUAGAUGGUUACCACCGGAGUACGAGGUUCAUCACCGUUUGCAGUACAAAGGAACAGAACAUGGCUUAUCAAA